AGCGGGAUAGAGCAGCCCGGAAGCUCGCCAGCCUCAUAAGCUGGAGGUCGGCGGUUCAAAUCCGCCUCCCGCAACCA
RNAcentral lists this transfer RNA (77 nucleotides) under Burkholderia multivorans. RNAcentral describes it as "tRNA-Met". It matches the Rfam family "tRNA". Rfam says of the family: Transfer RNA (tRNA) molecules are approximately 80 nucleotides in length. Their secondary structure includes four short double-helical elements and three loops (D, anti-codon, and T loops). Further hydrogen bonds mediate the characteristic L-shaped molecular structure. tRNAs have two regions of fundamental functional importance: the anti-codon, which is responsible for specific mRNA codon recognition, and the 3' end, to which the tRNAs corresponding amino acid is attached (by aminoacyl-tRNA synthetases). tRNAs cope with the degeneracy of the genetic code in two manners: having more than one tRNA (with a specific anti-codon) for a particular amino acid; and 'wobble' base-pairing, i.e. permitting non-standard base-pairing at the 3rd anti-codon position. The record is from RNAcentral. Lineage: Bacteria; Pseudomonadati; Pseudomonadota; Betaproteobacteria; Burkholderiales; Burkholderiaceae.